UCCCAAAGGCACGUGUCG
This 18-nucleotide small nuclear RNA is filed under the name Arabidopsis thaliana (thale cress). RNAcentral describes it as "snRNA_02015". Lineage: Eukaryota; Viridiplantae; Streptophyta; Magnoliopsida; Brassicales; Brassicaceae. The record is from RNAcentral.